GACGAACGCUGGCGGCGCGCCUAAUGCAUGCAAGUCGAGCGACGCAUGCUCGGUGGGUAACCACUGGGUAUGACGGAGCGGCGAACGGGUGAGUAACACGUGAGUAACCUGCCCCGAAGAUCGGGAUAGCCCGGGAAACCCGGAUUAAUACCGAAUACCCUCUCUGGAUCGCAUGGUCCGGUGAGGAAAUGCCUUUGUGCUUCGGGAUGGACUCGCGGCCUAUCAGCUAGUUGGUGAGGUAACGGCUCACCAAGGCAACGACGGGUAGCUGGUCUGAGAGGACGAUCAGCCACACUGGGACUGAGACACGGCCCAGACUCCUACGGGAGGCAGCAGCAGGGAAUCUUGUCCAAUGGGCGCAAGCCUGAGACAGCGACGCCGCGUGAGGGAUGAAGGCCUUCGGGUUGUAAACCUCUUUCAGGAGGGACGAAAUUGACGGUACCUCCAGAAGAAGCCCCGGCCAACUACGUG
This 471-nucleotide ribosomal RNA is filed under the name uncultured bacterium. RNAcentral describes it as "bacterial SSU rRNA". It matches the Rfam family "Bacterial small subunit ribosomal RNA", at positions 28 to 507 of the family's 1533-position model. The record is from RNAcentral.